UACACUUGUUUAUGUUUUUGUUUAACUUGUUGACAAAGACUUUUAUAGACAGGUGCAAAAACUAAAUCAUCUUUUCCAACCCAGAACUCAUGGUUUAGUAUGAGUUUUGAUACAUAUAAGAAGGCAUAUU
This 130-nucleotide small nucleolar RNA is filed under the name Cercocebus atys (sooty mangabey). RNAcentral describes it as "Small nucleolar RNA SNORA40 (ENSCATG00000017693.1)". It matches the Rfam family "Small nucleolar RNA SNORA40". From Rfam's summary of the family: The snoRNA ACA 40 belongs to the H/ACA family of snoRNAs and guides the pseudouridylation of 28S rRNA subunit at position U4565. NB This family has a high threshold value to exclude a large number of closely related sequences that do not appear to have conserved H and ACA boxes, and may be pseudogenes. Lineage: Eukaryota; Metazoa; Chordata; Mammalia; Primates; Cercopithecidae. The record is from Rfam by way of RNAcentral.